RNAcentral lists this ribosomal RNA (468 nucleotides) under uncultured bacterium. Its description in RNAcentral is "partial 16S ribosomal RNA". It matches the Rfam family "Bacterial small subunit ribosomal RNA", at positions 28 to 507 of the family's 1533-position model. The record is from RNAcentral.
GACGAACGCUGGCGGCGUGCCUAACACAUGCAAGUCGAACGGAAAGGCGCUGCUUUUGUGGGGUGCUCGAGUGGCGAACGGGUGAGUAACACGUGUGUAACCUGCCCCUGACUGUGGGGUAACAUCAGGAAAAAGGGGCUAAUACCGCAUAGGAGCUCCUGCUGCACGGUGGGGGUUGGAAAGUUUCGGCGGUUCGGGAUGGACUCGCGGCUUAUCAGCUUGUUGGUGGGGUAGUGGCUUACCCAGGCUUUGACGGGUAGCCGGCCUGGGAGGGGGACCAGCCACAUGAGGCCUAAGGGAGGGCCCAGACGCCAACGUGAGGCAGUGGGGGAAAGUAUUGCGCAAUGAGCCGAAGCCUGAGACAACGGCCCCGCGGGCGGAAUGACGGCCUUCGGGUGAUAAACCGCUUUCGCCUGUGACGUAGCCUGAGUGACGGUAAUGGGUAAAGAAGCACCGGCUAACUACGUG